This 446-nucleotide ribosomal RNA is filed under the name uncultured bacterium. RNAcentral describes it as "SSU rRNA". It matches the Rfam family "Bacterial small subunit ribosomal RNA", at positions 26 to 518 of the family's 1533-position model. The record is from RNAcentral.
AGAACGAACGCUGGCGGCAUGCCUAACACAUGCAAGUCGAACGAGACCUUCGGGUCUAGUGGCGCACGGGUGCGUAACGCGUGGGAACCUGCCUUUAGGUUCGGGAUAACAGUUAGAAAUGACUGCUAAUACCGGAUGAUGUCUUCGGACCAAAGAUUUAUCGCCUUUAGAUGGGCCCGCGUUGGAUUAGCUAGUUGGUGGGGUAAAGGCCUACCAAGGCGACGAUCCAUAGCUGGUCUGAGAGGACGAUCACCCAGACUGGGACUGAGACACGGCCCAGACUCCUACGGGAGGCAGCAGUCGGGAAUUUUGCGCAAUGGACGAAAGUCUGACGCAGCAACGCCGCGUGAGGGAUGAAGGCCUUCGGGUUGUAAACCUCUUUUAUCAGGGAAGAUAAUGACGGUACCUGAUGAAUAAGUCACGGCUAACUACGUGCCAGCAGCCGC